CUUGCGACCGGAGCCAAAGGAGGACGUGAGGAAUGAGGGGAGGCGAUGAAGGCUGAGGGGAAGCAGAUGGAGAAAGGGCUUGGCAGCCGCUGCCUCGCGCAAUGCCCGUUUCACGACGAGUUCCUUCGCGAACGCCAGCUUGGCACGGCUGUGCCUGUGUGGGGGAGACAUGUUCAGUGAAGCUUGUCUUGAGAGUCUGAGGAAAACACCCGGUAUGGUGCCAUCAUUCAGAAAGAAGAUAUUUUCAUCUCUCUUGAAGCCCCCCUCCCCAAUCCAUCCCUCAAAGCAGCGAAGAAAUAUUCAAAGGUCUUGUGCAAACAGGAGGAGGCGACGAAGGCAGGCCAGGUGAACCCGCCUCCAGUCUGCAGGUUGUGCCAGCGCAUCCUCACCCGAGCGGAGGCGUUGGCAUGACCAGGGUGCAACGCCGGUGCCGGGGCAUCCAGUGGGUGACCUUGAAGAAUAUUUCAGCUGGCUGCUGGGCCCCUCCUUUGAGACUCCGGUUUCUGAAGAACGCCUCCUUGCCGAGAGAGGGAAACAGGUUCUGGCAGCUGGUUUUGGCGAGCUGCCUUUUGGAAAAGAGGAAUUUCAAGCUCACAGGGCGUGAGAGAGACAGGUGGGGGCGGAGGAGGGUUUCACUCUUCUGCACGGAGGAUGACACUGGUUUCCUGGAUGCUGCAGAAACUCUCUGGGAAGGGACCUGAGCUCAGUGGUAUUAUUAUUAUUAUUACUAUUAUUACUAUUACUAUUAUCUCAGCUCACGCAGAGCAUCUGAGCACUAUUGCUCAGUAUCACACUUUUCUGGCUUAUCUGUAAAUGCCCCCAAAAGCCGGGUGAGAGGCUACUUGGAAAUCCAUUGGACUUGCCCCCUCCUAGGUGCUCCCCCCCACUCCCAGCCACUCUCUCCCAGGUCACCUGCCCA
Elgaria multicarinata webbii is the source of this 919-nucleotide long non-coding RNA. RefSeq lists it as uncharacterized. NCBI's taxonomy places the organism in Eukaryota, Metazoa, Chordata, Lepidosauria, Squamata, Anguidae. The record is from RefSeq and is a predicted model, not a curated record. The transcript has 3 exons.